RNAcentral lists this ribosomal RNA (464 nucleotides) under uncultured bacterium. Its description in RNAcentral is "partial 16S ribosomal RNA". It matches the Rfam family "Bacterial small subunit ribosomal RNA", at positions 28 to 507 of the family's 1533-position model. The record is from RNAcentral.
GACGAACGCUGGCGGCGUGCUUAACACAUGCAAGUCGUACGGUAAGGCCCUUUCGGGGGUACACGAGUGGCGAACGGGUGAGUAACACGUGAGUAACCUGCCCACAACUUUGGGAUAACGCUAGGAAACUGGUGCUAAUACUGGAUAUGUGCUCCUGCUGCAUGGUGGGGGUUGGAAAGCUCCGGCGGUUGUGGAUGGACUCGCGGCCUAUCAGCUUGUUGGUGGGGUAGUGGCCUACCAAGGCGGCGACGGGUAGCCGGCCUGAGAGGGUGACCGGCCACAUUGGGACUGAGAUACGGCCCAGACUCCUACGGGAGGCAGCAGUGGGGAAAUUGCACAAUGGGCGCAAGCCUGAUGCAGCAACGCCGCGUGCGGGAUGACGGCCUUCGGGUUGUAAACCGCAUUCAGCAGGGACGAAGCUUUUUGUGACGGUACCUGCAGAAGAAGCACCGGCUAACUACGUG